Aureobasidium pullulans is the source of this 96-nucleotide transfer RNA. It matches the Rfam family "tRNA". From Rfam's summary of the family: Transfer RNA (tRNA) molecules are approximately 80 nucleotides in length. Their secondary structure includes four short double-helical elements and three loops (D, anti-codon, and T loops). The record is from Rfam. NCBI's taxonomy places the organism in Eukaryota, Fungi, Ascomycota, Dothideomycetes, Dothideales, Saccotheciaceae.
GGCGAGAUGGCCGAGCGGUCUAAGGCGCCAGCUUAAGGUUGAUUCAAAUCGAUACGCUGGUCCGAAAGGGCGUGGGUUCAAAUCCCACUCUCGUCA